GAUGAAGAACGCAGCGAAAUGCGAUACGUAAUGUGAAUUGCAGAAUUCAGUGAAUCAUCGAAUCUUUGAACGCAUAUUGCGCUCUCUGGUAUCCCGGAGAGCAUUCUUGUUUGAGUAUCAGUAAACACCUCAACUUCCAUAUCUUUUUUGAAAUGGGAGUUGGACUUGAGUGAUCCCAACGCUUUUCCUCACCGAAAAGUGGCGGGUUACUUGAAAUGCAGGUGCAGCUGGACUUUUCUCUGAGCUAUAAGCAUAUCUAUUUAGUCUGCCUAAAAAACAGAUUAUUACCUUUGCUGCAGCUAACAUAAAGGAGAUUAGUUCUUGUGCUGACUGAUGCAGGAUUCACAAAGACAGGCUUCGGCCGACUUUGUAAACUCGAUCUCAAAUCAAGUAAGACUACCCGCUGAACUUAAGCAUAUCAAUAAGCGGAGGA
RNAcentral lists this unclassified non-coding RNA (433 nucleotides) under soil metagenome. RNAcentral describes it as "partial contains 5.8S ribosomal RNA, internal transcribed spacer 2, and large subunit ribosomal RNA". The stretch from base 1 to 120 matches the Rfam family "5.8S ribosomal RNA", at positions 35 to 154 of the family's 154-position model. The record is from RNAcentral.